GAGCUGAGGCAGCCAUAUUUAAUCAACACUGAAGUCUCCCCCUGGGUGAUGUUCGUGCCCUUCUGUAAUAUUUUAUUCUAAGUCAUUUCCCAGACAGCAUUAUUGAUUCGUGUCAUUAUUCUCCCCCAAGCUCCGGGAGCUUGUGCAAUGUGAUACCAACUGCAGAUCUCUUCGUGAACAUAACCUCAGAACUGAAAAGUAAGGUGACUGCUGGCCACAUUCAGUCUUACCCAGAUGGAUAUUACCCAGUGUACGGACAAGCGGAAGAUGACGGUUGCCAGACUGACCCAUUUCUUAGAUGGAGGGACACAGAAACGUAUUGUCUCACGGUUCUGGAAGCUGGAAGUCCAAGACCCUGGUGGCAGCAGGCUUGCUUCUUGCUAAGGGUCCAGUUGAGAGGAGCAGCUGGAUUGGAGAAGCCAAGCUGAUACCUUGUGAUUGCGGCACAUUGGAAGAAAGACCGAACUUUUAUGAAAUAGAUGUGAUUAUUGCUUAAUGUUUUCAGUACAAUCCAAAAUCAUGAUGAUACCUGAUGUUUAUUCUUUGGAUCACCCCACCCUAAUUCUGGACUAGAAGCUCCAAUAUGGACAGUUACUCUUGCAGAGAUCACCAGCAGCUAUUGCAACUGUGCCUGGCAUGAACAAUUGUUCAGGAAGUAUUUGUUAACUAGCUUACAACUACUUUAACCUAUAUGUCUGAAUUAAAUCUUAAAUGUUGGUAUCUUCAUUGUUAGUGUAUAAGAAAGCCACUGAUUUCUGCACAUUGAC
This is a long non-coding RNA of Neogale vison (American mink), 767 nucleotides long. RefSeq lists it as uncharacterized. NCBI's taxonomy places the organism in Eukaryota, Metazoa, Chordata, Mammalia, Carnivora, Mustelidae. The record is from RefSeq and is a predicted model, not a curated record. The transcript has 4 exons.